GUGGGGAAUAUUGGACAAUGGGCGAAAGCCUGAUCCAGCCAUGCCGCGUGUGUGAAGAAGGUCUUCGGAUUGUAAAGCACUUUAAGUUGGGAGGAAGGGCAGUAAGUUAAUACCUUGCUGUUUUGACGUUACCGACAGAAUAAGCACCGGCUAACUUCGUGCCAGCAGCCGCGGUAAUACGAAGGGUGCAAGCGUUAAUCGGAAUUACUGGGCGUAAAGCGCGCGUAGGUGGUUUUGUAAGUUGGAGGUGAAAUCCCCGGGCUCAACCUGGGAACUGCCUCCAAAACUGCAUGACUAGAGUACGGUAAAGGGUAGUGGAAUUUCCUGUGUAGCGGUGAAAUGCGUAGAUAUAGGAAGGAACACCAGUGGCGAAGGCGACUACCUGGACUGAUACUGACACUGAGGUGCGAAAGCGUGGGGAGCAAACAGGAUUAGAUACCCCUGUAGUCC
This 450-nucleotide ribosomal RNA is filed under the name uncultured bacterium. Its description in RNAcentral is "partial 16S ribosomal RNA". It matches the Rfam family "Bacterial small subunit ribosomal RNA", at positions 354 to 796 of the family's 1533-position model. The record is from RNAcentral.